Molecule: ribosomal RNA, 391 nt
Filed under: uncultured organism
Description: bacterial SSU rRNA
Rfam family: Bacterial small subunit ribosomal RNA
Source: RNAcentral
GGCCUAAUACAUGCAAGUCGAGGGGCAGCACGGGUAGCAAUAUCUGGUGGCGACCGGCGCACGGGUGCGUAACGCGUAUGCAAUCUACCUUUAACCGGGGGAUAGCCCGGAGAAAUCCGGAUUAAUACCCUAUAACAAAUGAAGCAGCAUUGCUUUAUUUUAAAAAUUCCGAUGGUUAAAGAUGAGCAUGCGUAUGAUUAGCUAGUUGGUGAGGUAACGGCUCACCAAGGCAACGAUCAUUAGGGGUACUGAGAGGUUACACCCCCACACUGGAACUGAGACACGGUCCAGACUCCUACGGGAGGCAGCAGUAAGGAAUAUUGGUCAAUGGAGGCAACUCUGAACCAGCCAUGCCGCGUGCAGGAAGAAGGCGCUACGCGUUGUAAACUGC